RNAcentral lists this ribosomal RNA (490 nucleotides) under uncultured bacterium. RNAcentral's name for it is "partial 16S ribosomal RNA". It matches the Rfam family "Bacterial small subunit ribosomal RNA", at positions 30 to 507 of the family's 1533-position model. The record is from RNAcentral.
AUUGAACGCUGGCGGCAGGCCUAACACAUGCAAGUCGAACGGUAACAGGAAGAAGCUUGCUUCUUUGCUGACGAGUGGCGGACGGGUGAGUAAUGUCUGGGAAACUGCCUGAUGGAGGGGGAUAACUACUGGAAACGGUAGCUAAUACCGCAUAACGUCGCAAGACCAAAGAGGGGGACCUUCGGGCCUCUUGCCAUCGGAUGUGCCCAGAUGGGAUUAGCUAGUAGGUGGGGUAACGGCUCACAUAGGCGACGAUCCCUAGAUGGUCUGGGAGGCUGACCAGCCACACUGGAACUGAGACACGGUCCAGACUCCUACGGGAGGCAGCAGUGGGGAAUAGUGCACAGUGGGCGCAAGCCUUAUGCAGCCAUGCCGCGUGUAUGAAGAAGGCCUUCGGGUUGUAAAGUACUUUCAGCGGGGAGGAAGGGAGUAAAGUUAAUACCUUUGCUCAUUGACGUUACCCGCAGAAGAAGCACCGGCUAACUCCGUG